CGGAGGAUCCGAGCGUUAUCCGGAUUUAUUGGGUUUAAAGGGUGCGUAGGCGGGAUAGUAAGUCAGUGGUGAAAGCCCGCAGCUCAACUGCGGAACUGCCAUUGAUACUGCUAACCUUGAGUAUGUAUGAUGUGGGCGGAAUGUGCAGUGUAGCGGUGAAAUGCUUAGAUAUUGCACAGAACACCGAUUGCGAAGGCAGCUCACAAAACCAUAACUGACGCUGAGGCACGAAAGCGUGGGGAUCAAACAGGAUUAGAUACCCUGGUAGUCCACGCCUUAAACGUUGGAUACUCGAUGUGUGCGAUAUACUGUACGCGUCUAAGCGAAAGUGAUAAGUAUUCCACCUGGGGAGUACGCUCGCAAGAGUG
Molecule: ribosomal RNA, 368 nt
Filed under: uncultured organism
Description: bacterial SSU rRNA
Rfam family: Bacterial small subunit ribosomal RNA
Source: RNAcentral